GCGCGCGCGCUAGCCAUGCCCCCGGGCACGCCGCCUGUGUGUUCCCCCGCCGCUGCCGCCGGGGCUGUAUCCUCAGGAGCUCUGCGGCGCCUAUGGAUACCCUUAAGCGCAGCACCUGAACGUGCUCCGACAUGGCUGCCGCGUUCGGCGUUCACGUCGACCUCAACGGUUCCCCCUCCCUCACCCCCAAGAUGGUGCUAACUUUCACGGAAGCACAUUUUUCUUUUGAAUCUUGUUUGUGAAUCCUGAUCGGCUACGAGGUGCAAGUCUUUGAGCCGCUUAAUCGUCUACCACUUGGUUCAGAACACCUAAUCUGAAAGAGAAGUCAAACAAAAAGCAUCUUCUGUGAUCCUGGCCGCAAUGAUGAAAGGCUGGCUGCUUAUUAGGCCUUGGAGUUGGUUUCUUCUUUCUGCAGAUCAGAACAUGCUCUCCAUGUUGAAUUUUAACUAGAGAAUUCUGUUUUGCAAACUAGUCUAAAGCUUUAUUAUUGGGGAUGUGCCCUUAUUUAAUUUAAGUUUGGACUGAACUAUGUGAAUAUUGAACUUUGAAUGUAGCAUUACAUUCUAUCUUUGGUCCAUGGUCAACCAGGAUAGUCAGGUUCUUUUUUAACAUAAAUUUGGUCC
Long non-coding RNA from Oryza sativa Japonica Group (Japanese rice), 623 nucleotides. RefSeq lists it as uncharacterized. The record is from RefSeq and is a predicted model, not a curated record. Lineage: Eukaryota; Viridiplantae; Streptophyta; Magnoliopsida; Poales; Poaceae.